Molecule: long non-coding RNA, 1242 nt
Organism: Mytilus trossulus (common blue mussel)
Lineage: Eukaryota; Metazoa; Mollusca; Bivalvia; Mytilida; Mytilidae
Exons: 4
Source: RefSeq, a predicted model, not a curated record
GAAAAUACAAAAGAACUAAGGUUAAUAAAUAGAACAACUAUAUAGAUACGAAGUUACUAUACACAUCUAUUCAUUAGUAUUUAUGAACAGAAAGUCAGAAAAGAUGCUCUAAUCAAGAGAAGAAAAUGUCAAUGUUAUAGUGAAAAGGGCUAGGACUUGGAUGAGUCUGUUCAGAGAAGAAGAACAGCCAAGUUUUAUAUGUAUGUACUUAAAGGGCAACCAAAUAAGAUUUAAAGUAUCCAGUAAAGGUCUUACAAAGAUAGAUGAUAUUUCACUGUUAUAAAGUAAAGGGACAAAAGCUCAGAGCAGCUAUAUUAUAAUGUACCAUCAGUGCUCUUUCAACAGCUGCAUAUCAAUAAACAGAUAAACAUAUGAACAAUUUAUUCAUGAUAAGGGAUAUGCCCUUGAAAUAACAUUUUAUAAUAUUUUGUGAUAACUUAUUGAAAAUGUGAGACUCGAUUUGUCAGAAUUUUGAUAUAAAUCAAGAGUUUAAAAUGAUCUUGGUCUUGAACAUUAAAAAAAAAAUUGAUUUGAAAAAAGUUGAAAUGUUAAGCAAAGAACAAUAACAAUUUGCUAAGGAGAGAAAAUUAUGGAUAAAAUAAGAGAUAUACAACAAUGCAAUAAUUUCCAAAACUGAUGGAGAACUGCAAAUUGAGUUAUAGUCCUUUAUGCAACAUUUUUAGCUGUAUUAAUUUGCUUCCAAUCAUGUAUUGCUGUUAUGAAAUAUUUCUGAAGUAAAACUAGUGAAAAUGUUAUCAAAUAUAUAAACUCUGUAUUAUGAAUGAGAUUUUCAGUAAAACUGAAUAGAUUUUAAAUUUAGGAAGCUUGUAAAACAAUGGAAGAUUUUGUUAAAAAAUAUUUGAAAUCAUGAAUUAUAGAUAUGUUAACAAAGUAACAAUCCUUUUUCAUCUUUCAAAUUUCGAAAACAAGUUUCCAAUUCAUUGUUUCAAUUUCCUAAUGGCUAGUCUGAUUGUUUCUUUAUAAUUUGGUAUAGAUUCAAAAUUUAGAAGUAGAGCUGUUUUCGAGGUGUUUCUGACCAUUACCAAAAUAGAUAUAUUCCCUUUGUCUAUUUCUUGAUUUUUUAUGAUGUGUAUAUAUUGUGUCUGACAAUUUUGCAUAUGUGAAGAAUGACAUUUAUAAUGUAUUCAUAUUUUGACCAAAAAAAACACAUUCAGAAAUUAUUUAGUACAAUUUUGUAACAUUUGUGAAUUGUGAAAAUUAUUAAAAGAACUUAAAAAUCAA